ACUAUAGCUUGACACUGAACAUUGAGCCUUGAUGUGUAGGAUAGGUGGGAGGCUUAGAAGUGUGGACGCCAGUCUGCAUGGAGCCGACCUUGAAAUACCACCCUUUAAUGUUUGAUGUUCUAACGUUGACCCGUAAUCCGGGUUGCGGACAGUGUCUGGUGGGUAGUUUGACUGGGGCGGUCUCCUCCUAAAGAGUAACGGAGGAGCACGAAGGUUGGCUAAUCCUGGUCGGACAUCAGGAGGUUAGUGCAAUGGCAUAAGCCAGCUUGACUGCGAGCGUGACGGCGCGAGCAGGUGCGAAAGCAGGUCAUAGUGAUCCGGUGGUUCUGAAUGGAAGGGCCAUCGCUCAACGGAUAAAAGGUACUCCGGGGAUAACAGGCUGAUACCGCCCAAGAGUUCAUAUCGACGGCGGUGUUUGGCACCUCGAUGUCGGCUCAUCACAUCCUGGGGCUGAAGUAGGUCCCAAGGGUAUGGCUGUUCGCCAUUUAAAGUGGUACGCGAGCUGGGUUUAGAACGUCGUGAGACAGUUCGGUCCCUAUCUGCCGUGGGCGCUGGAGAACUGAGGGGGGCUGCUCCUAGUACGAGAGGACCGGAGUGGACGCAUCACUGGUGUUCGGGUUGUCAUGCCAAUGGCACUGCCCGGUAGCUAAAUGCGGAAGAGAUAAGUGCUGAAAGCAUCUAAGCACGAAACUUGCCCCGAGAUGAGUUCUCCCUGACUCCUUGAGAGUCCUGAAGGAACGUUGAAGACGACGACGUUGAUAGGCCGGGUGUGUAAGCGCAGCGAUGCGUUGAGCUAAUCGGUACUAAUGAACCGUGAGGCUUAACCUU
Molecule: ribosomal RNA, 828 nt
Filed under: Escherichia coli
Lineage: Bacteria; Pseudomonadati; Pseudomonadota; Gammaproteobacteria; Enterobacterales; Enterobacteriaceae
Description: partial 23S ribosomal RNA
Rfam family: Bacterial large subunit ribosomal RNA
Source: RNAcentral